AGGGUGGCAUAGACGGCGAGCCCAGGGAGGCCACUGACAUGCAUUCAAGAGAAAAGAAAAGAAGCCAGGCUUUGGCAUAAGUGCUUCAUGGUGGAGUGAGAAUGGCUUGCCCUGGAAGGGUCAUGUUUUAGAAGGAGUGAUCUUCAUUGUGAAGUCUAAACUGUUCUGGAAAUAUAAGCUUUGAAACCCAGAAGACACUAAAGUAAAAGAACCAUCAACACAAGUGACAUGUCAUAGCAGGAGCUGACACAGCCUCACCAGCCCAUGCUCGGCCAGACUAGGGUCCCGUCUGUUUUCUGUGCUGUACCAGCUUGCUGUGACCGUCUCCUGUGGUCUUGCAUAUGUCCCUUGCUACAGCUGGUCUGUUGGUCAGUGAACAUGCAACCUCAGUUGGAAGAAUGUGGCAGAAUUGGCCGGAAGCAGAAUUGCCUGUUUCCAGUGAGGCCCCCUUGCCCUCUUGGAAGCAAUUGCUGUGUAGGAAGUCUGAACACCUCACAGGAGAUGGAGGCCAGUUCCUGCCUGCUGUAGCCACCCAGCUGAAGGGGGUCCAGACACGAGUGGAGGCAUUGUGACCUCCAGCCUCAGCAGACACCUCCACACUGCGCAGGGCAGAGCAACCACGCCACCGAGUGAGCCCCAUUUGCAGACUUUGAGCAAAUAAUGAUUGUGCACGUUGGAUCAUUUAUUGAGUUUCUCUCGUACACCAAGCACUGGUUGGAUCCCAUGCUUGUUGGUGACAGAACUGCUGUGAUGCCAGUCCUGCGUCCCCUUCAGCCUGUGAAGGAGGAGCACCAUGAACCAGCCAACUAACACGUGUCUAAUCACAUAAAGGGAACUGAACACCAGAGAGCCACAGUCACUUUCCGAAGGUCACACAGCAAGUGCAAAUGAGGCCUCAUCCUCAGGGCUGGGUUCCAGGCCUGCUGGGCAGGUCGGUUACUGCUGCACAAAAUUUCUGUUAUCCUAAAAUUGUUUCAGACAAGCACCAAAGGACGUCCCAUAGUUCUGCUUGACUAAGGUUUAAUGAAGUUAAUGUUCAUACUUUCCACUCUAUUUUUCCACUCUUUAAGGAUCCAAAUUUUCUUGGUGUAGCUGCGUAUAAAAGUUUAACUAUUACAGAGAUAACCACAAAAUUUGAUGAGGCUUCAUUGAGUGGAAAACACUGUAGUCCAAAUAAAUGCAGAAAUCAUUGGUUUGGGAACCAAGGGA
Molecule: long non-coding RNA, 1209 nt
Organism: Homo sapiens (human)
Lineage: Eukaryota; Metazoa; Chordata; Mammalia; Primates; Hominidae
Product: long independently transcribed non-coding RNA 841
Exons: 5
Source: RefSeq, marked validated